GACGUAGGGUGCGAGCGUUGUCCGGAUUUAUUGGGCGUGAGGAGCUCGUAGGCGGCUCGUCGCGUCGACCGUGAAAACCCGCGGCUCAACUGUGGGCGGGCAGCUGAUACGGGCAGGCUGGAGUUCGGUAGGGGAGACUGGAAUUCCUGGUGUAGCGGUGAAAUGCGCAGAUAUCAGGAGGAACACCGGUGGCGAAGGCGGGUCUCUGGGCCGAUACUGACGCUGAGGAGCGAAAGCGUGGGGAGCGAACAGG
This 253-nucleotide ribosomal RNA is filed under the name uncultured bacterium. Its description in RNAcentral is "partial 16S ribosomal RNA". It matches the Rfam family "Bacterial small subunit ribosomal RNA", at positions 524 to 776 of the family's 1533-position model. The record is from RNAcentral.